UCCCGCCCCUCUCCGCCCUCUCGGCGGGAGCGGCGCCCUCACAGGCGGCGGCGUAGGGGGCCAUCCCGAGCCGAGCCGCGCUGCUCUGCCGCCGGGCCGCGGGCGGCCGCUGAGGGCGGUUGUUAACGGCCCUCGGGGGCGGUUGCAGCGGGCGGCGGGGCGGGCGGGGUGAGGGCCUCGUCCCACCCCGAGCACACGCUGCCCUCCCCGCGACUGGGAGCUGCUGGAUGUGCCCUGUGGCAGCCCCGCAGCUUCUGCAGAGCCCUCGGCUCCGGUGUGAGCUGCCUUUCUGGCAGUUCCUCCCUCCUCAGAGAGGAGUUCCCGCCUGCACUGAAAGAAUAGCUCAACAUCUGUCAUCCCAUUCUCUGCCAUGGCCCAAAAUCAGUAAGACUACAGCUGUCCUGUUCCUUUCAGAUACUUCUGGGAUAGAGAGGUUGGGAGUUAUACCACAACUGCUGACUACUGGAUGAAGAUGGAAACAAGAGAUGUACAGUGUACACUAGUGCAUUCCUUGCAAGUCCCCAGAUAGUAUCUUUUGUGAUUUGUCUGUAUGGAAAAGAGGGAAAGGAAUGUGGAGGAAGGGAAGAGGCUGGGAAGAAUAUGUUCUCACCUUAAAAAAUGCUUAACUACUCUCAUCAGUUCUAAAGUUUAAAAUUUCAUCAGUUCAUUUGUUUAACAUCUAGCAAAUCAGUAAAUAUAUAUAUAUAUAUAUAACAGAAAUUCAAGACAAUUUUUGAUUGAAUUAUACUAUUCUCUUACAGUAGCAGUCAAAUUAGUAGUCAGUGGUAGAUUGUGUGUUUCUUUUCUUACAACCACAAUUAAGAGCUGCUGCAAUAAACCUCAGAGUCCCAACCAGUGGCAAUUACUUUAGGUAUACACUUCUCCAACCUGCAGUUUAAACUUCACAGUCCCAAGAUUUGGGGAAGGCAUCACAAAGUGCAAAAUUCUCAGAGGAAUUUAGGCAUUGUAAAAACAGGGGAAUCCACAAGCUGAAGUUAGGCCUUCGGGCUCCCUGUCACACCUAUGGUGACAGCCAAGCUGUGGUUAUGCGGUAAUUCUGAUUUGGCUGACAUCCAUGCUGCUGCUGAAAGAACAGCUCAGCUGCACAGUCAUGCUGUUACCUCCUGCGUAGACUGAAGUAUAUUGCAUAAUGUUUACUUGCUGAUCUUUGGCACAGAAAAAUGACGGCAAAAAGAAGGUGAUUUCUCAACAAGGCUGGUCUUGAUUCAUUCAGGAUUUUAUAAAUAAUAAUAAAUUAAUUACAUUUUUCCACAGAUGUACCAGUGUAAUCCCAAGAAAUUUACUUUUAGAAAAUGAUAGAAAAACAGGUUUAGGUUCACAGACACUACUGCAGAAUGCAGAAGAAAAGAACACCAGAAACAUGAAAAUCUGCACUGAAGAAGAGAAUCAUGCAUGAUGAAAUCCACCUUUACCCUUCAGUCUCUCUGGAUCAGGAACAGAAAAAAAUACCUACUGUUUAGUCAUCUUCUUUCCACAUAGCUGCCAAACUUUUUUUUGUACCCUGUGUGAAGUUCUUGUCUUCAUCAAACCCCUUGAUUUUUGGAGACAGCAACCAAUCUGGUUUUUAGCUUCUGGAUUUCAGAAUGGAAUUUCCUUGCACAAACAUCAGCCAAGGUAAUGCUGCACUGGACCUGCUACUCACAAGUGGGGAAGAAUGUGGAGGGAGAUGCAGAAAAUGGUGGGGAAUGAAGCCACAGUUGACAGUUUGAGUUGCAAUGAGUCUACAUUAUCAGUUGAAGGUUUAGAGAAGGACUGGGACGCAGAAUAAGGUAUCUGGACUUCUGACAGAAGAUUUCAUUUUGUUUAAGAAAAUGCAAGUCAGCAUGCCUGAAGAAGCUUCCAAAAGGAAGAAAGUUACUUUUUUUUUUUUUUUUCCCUUUGUUCUUUUCCUUUUUUCUUUAAGAUAGCUCAAGGAGAGCCCAGGAACAAACCAUUUGCUGAGGAAAAGAAGAGGUUUUGGCAGAAGGUACACUUGGCUAAGCAAGGAGAUUCCAAAUGAGUAGAAAACAACAGCAACAGUGAGAACAGGGAGCAUACAAGAAAUGGAAAAUAAAUUGGUCUUGUUUAAUUUGGAAAGGGGAAGGCAAAGAGACAAUAUACAUCUUUUUAACAGCCACCAAAACUGAGCUUGGCUCCAUCAUUGCUACAGAUCUCCUCCAAAUAGAUGCCCACUUUUGAAACUUGUCAUGAUCCUGAUGCAUUUUAUUUUCAGCACCAUUACUGGCAUUAGCUCUGGGAAUCUAGACAACACAAAGGGUACUACACUUAUUUUUCCAAGUGUAACAAAAAUGUCAAAUAGAAGAGUAAUAGGAACAAGUUACUUGAAGGAGGAACAUCUCAUAAGAACAAGUAGCACAGUUCAGGUCAUUAAUGCUUUAUUUGAACAAUUGGAAUGAUAGCUGAAGCUAUUCAGUUGUUUUAAUGUGGUUUUUUGGAAUUAGCUGACAUUAUAUCUAGGAAGGAGUGAAGUCUUAUUUAGAAGGAAUUUUAUGUUACCUAUGCGUUUCUUUUGUGGAAAUUUGAUUUGCUGCCUAUAUUAAAAAAAAAGAAAAAACAAACAAACUAUUUUUUUUCAAUAAAGGGACUGAAAUUAAAUUUAACAUAUAUUUUACAAUCCCAAACCAGAUUGUAAAGGUUUGCAGUGAGUAACACAGAAUGGUCACGUAAUAUAAUGGUAGUUACUGUGGUACUGUUUCUAACAAGUUGGGCUUUAGUUACAGCUGCCUAGCCUCCUGCUGCACUGUGAAGUCUUUUUAUCUUGGAAUUGAAAAUAGCUUUCAAAUAUUCAUAAUUCCUUAGUGGAGUACUUUUAAAGAUACUGUAUUGUUUUCUGCUACCAUUAAUUACCAGUGAUUUAUUUACAAGACAAUAAUUGAUUAUACUUCUGGGAUGCUCAGGAAUCUAACAUAAAUCAAAGCAGACUUGAUAAGAAGCGAUGAAAGUCUCACAUAAUUAAGCAAAGCACUGGAGACCAAUUGUUUAUAGAAUGAUUUUGCUGGGGCUAAUUGACACUAAUUAUUUAAUCUGAUUUUCUUCUUCACGUUAAUGCUUCUACCAGCUCACUGUUCUCUGCUGGUGACACAUGCAUGUUUGACUUUAUCAAGGUGUUCUCACUGUAUCAAUACAAAGGAUUUUCAGCUAUUAUCUCCACUAGACUAUUUUUUUUUCAUAUCAGUGCAAGAGAGAAGGAUGGAAAAUUGUGAUCUUUAAGUCUUGUUAAUUUCUUAACUACAUGGAGUAUUGAAGUGUAAAAAUUAGGCAAAACAAUAACUUAGAUGGUGAUAAAAUUAAUUAUACAGUAGAAGAAGCCUUAGGACAAAAGCAAGCAUGUUUGCAGAUCAAUUGAACGUUUAGCUCACUUGGUACAACUCUCCAGCUGUGGGAAAUUUUUAGUAAAAUCUUAUUUCUUGAUAAAAUCACUUCUCUCAUGUUUAAGUAUGUCCUGUUUGAUAAGCAUCGGUGCUUGGUUCAAGAUGCUGUUAAUGAAAUUUUUUAAUUUCUUGCCUGGAACCAGACUGAAGACCCAGAGUACCUCUUCUGCUAUUUUACUGGAUCAUGACUUUGGUCCAUGACUUGCAAGCAUUGACAUUGGUGAGAAUUUUCAGAAUAUAUUUGUGUACUGUCCGAAGCCAGAAGGGACAAUAUUUCAUUGCAUCUUUUUAAAAUAAUAGAAUCAUUUUCAAAAUUCCAAGUAUGCUCCAGUUGUCAGGACCCCGUGUCAUGUUCUGUAGUUACAUAUCUAUUCAGAUGAGGAAUUAGCUUUGCAUUCUAACACAAGCAGUUCAGGCAUCCUGAUUAUGACUGCUUACUGUUACUCUGACAGCACAGAGAAUGUCCUUCUUCAAAAAGCCACCACUUUUGCUUCUUCAAAUUGGUCUUCAGGCUUUACUUUUGAGCAAAGGAGAAGUUCGAACAAGUGGUACAAGGUCAAGUUUUGCAGACUACCACCCCCAAUACUUCAUAAAGUGAGCGACUCAAUGAAUAAAGACUGAUCAGAAAUAUCUAAACACUGGUCACAUGUGGUAGUAACUACAGAAAUUGUGAUCUAUUCAGGAUAUUGAUACUACAACUAAUGUCACUGAGUAAUGUUUUGAAUAGGGAGUUACAAGCAUCCAUUACUAAUUAGUUUUUACUAAAUUGCUUCAUAACCAAAAUCCUUAUUUAUGACAAGUGUUUUCCUAUCAUGGGAUAUGUACACGCAAAUUUAUAUCCCACAGAAUCUCUGGUCUGUUACUGCUGUGAUUUCUAUUUAAACUUCUAAAAUACCAAAGUACACUCGAAUAAAAGCUGCUGUAGUAUAGAAAACUGUAUACAUGCAAGUAUUAGCAUUAAAGGAAUUUAUUAUUAUAAGUUUUUAAUAAUAAACCAUGUACUGAUAAUGAA
This is a long non-coding RNA of Gallus gallus (chicken), 4404 nucleotides long. RefSeq lists it as uncharacterized. Lineage: Eukaryota; Metazoa; Chordata; Aves; Galliformes; Phasianidae. The transcript has 4 exons. The record is from RefSeq and is a predicted model, not a curated record.